This 73-nucleotide transfer RNA is filed under the name Cotesia glomerata. RNAcentral's name for it is "tRNA-Thr". The record is from RNAcentral. Lineage: Eukaryota; Metazoa; Arthropoda; Insecta; Hymenoptera; Braconidae.
AUUCAGGUAGCUUAAAUGGUAGAGGAAUUGACGUGUAAUCAUUAGAAUCUUGGUUCGAUUCCCACUCUGAGUG